GGCCGAGUGGCGGAACUGGCAGACGCUCAGGACUUAAAAUCCUGUGUCCUCACGGACGUGCGGGUUCGAGUCCCGCCUCGGCUA
This 84-nucleotide transfer RNA is filed under the name Planctomycetaceae bacterium. RNAcentral describes it as "tRNA-Leu". It matches the Rfam family "tRNA". Rfam says of the family: Transfer RNA (tRNA) molecules are approximately 80 nucleotides in length. Their secondary structure includes four short double-helical elements and three loops (D, anti-codon, and T loops). RNAcentral also lists the same sequence under 3 other names. Lineage: Bacteria; Pseudomonadati; Planctomycetota; Planctomycetia; Planctomycetales; Planctomycetaceae. The record is from RNAcentral.